This is a non-coding RNA of Vicugna pacos (alpaca), 1699 nucleotides long. Lineage: Eukaryota; Metazoa; Chordata; Mammalia; Artiodactyla; Camelidae. The record is from RefSeq and is a predicted model, not a curated record.
AAGAUUCCUGGAGGAACAGCAUCUAUUAUGGAUUUAUGAUGUUGAAAACCACAGAACAAAGACAACUGAGAAAAGAAGACCGAAGGAGCCUGGGAACUUCAUGACAUUCUUGAGCAGCGGUGCCAGCCCUGGAUGAUUUACCUCAGCUCUUCUUACUGGUAGCUGGUUUUUCUUCCCCAUCCUUUUCACCACUGGGCGUGCAGGUGAUGCCUCUCCAUAGAUGGUUUAGGAUGAAGAAACUGAACAGGGCCAUGAUCCUCACCUGUGAUUUCCUGGCUGCCACCCUGGUUUUGGGGUCUUUCCUCCUCUCUUCUUGGGUAGAAAUAGAACUGUCUGGUGAGCCGAAUGUUCUUGUCAGUGCACUUUUCACCAACUGUACCAGUAAGAAAAUGUGUUGGAUGCUCAAACACAAACCAAGUAAGACCUUGUUUAAAAAGGGAGGGCUACAUGUCAUUACCAACCUGCAGCCUCAGUGCUCACUGCCCCCUCUCCCUCAGGACCACUCCUUCUCGCUGACACCUACCAACAUUUACUAUGCUAUCUUUAGAACUGGAGCCUCUGAAAACGAGAGGGUGGGCCCUAAAAAAGAAGGACGUUGUCAUUCUCUCUCUGUCAUUCUUCCCUGAUUUAGCCUACUUCAUACUGGGUGGAAUUUUCAUAAUCAGCACCCUUCUCCUCUCGCUCUGCUUGAGCCUUUUGUUGGUGGCAUUCCCUCAGUUGUUCCCUAAGAGCCAGAAACAGUAUCUUUCCUGUGCUUUUGUCUUCAUUGUCACAGAUAAGGAAAGGCAGAAAUGAAUUUUGAAUGUCUUGGCAUUGGGGUUAGGGUGGAAUUUUAGUGAAAUUAGUUCCUAGAAAAUUUUCAGGAGGAUGCAUAGGAAAAGAACAAUCAAGGAGAAAAUGGUCUCAAAGGGAAAAGGAGAAUGAGGAGCAGUGAUAAUGAAAUAAUUUUGGUUCAUUGAUCAUGAUACUGGACUAAAACCCUUAAGUAUUGGGAUAGGCUAAUCAAAAGAUCCAUCACUUUUCCCUUUUUUGAGUUGACAGGUGUCCCUCUCCUUACUUAUGCACUAUAUGCAAAUUUUGGAAGUGAGUCGGGAACCUGAUCCACCAAAAGUCACCUAUAAGCUUCCUUAUGUCAUAAAUUUAUCCAGCUCUUCCUUAUUUCUGCUAUCUGGUGAGUGAUCAUGGGGUUCUGUGAGGUUGUAGAAGGUGAGCUAACCUCCUAGGAACCAGAUUAAGUUUAUUUCUUUGAUCUUCCUUUUCUUUUACUCUAACAUUCUCAAAUAUGUGGAAGUCAAUCAUCUAAACUUUUUUUCUUCUUUGGCUUUUGGGCAUAAGUGUCCCUUAUGCUCACCCAUGACUUUUUUCUAUUGUCCAGUGACUUAUUUUAAAAAAUAUUUUUAAAAUUAAUUUCCUCCUGGACUUCAGUUUUGCAAUACAAACUCUAAAACAGGAUUCAGAAGCCAUCUCUUGGCUUCAAAUAUAUCUUCAACUAGGGGUAGAAGUCAGAGUAUGGGAAAGAAUUAUUUGCUUUUCUUGACAACGGAAAAUAGAAGACACUGUGUAAGACCACUUACAUAAUCUCUGAGGCCCAGUGCAAAAUAAAAAUGUGGUGUCUCUUGUUCAAAAAUUGCUAACAAUUUCAAGAUGAUGAUAGCAGAACACAAAUCCAAGUAUGAGGCUCUUCUGAGUGCAGGAUCAU